GCAAGUCGAGCGGAUGACGGGAGCUUGCUCCUUGAUUCAGCGGCGGACGGGUGAGUAAUGCCUAGGAAUCUGCCUGGUAGUGGGGGACAACGUUUCGAAAGGAACGCUAAUACCGCAUACGUCCUACGGGAGAAAGCAGGGGACCUUUGGGCCUUGCGCUAUCAGAUGAGCCUAGGUCGGAUUAGCUAGUUGGUGGGGUAAUGGCUCACCAAGGCGACGAUCCGUAACUGGUCUGAGAGGAUGAUCAGUCACACUGGAACUGAGACACGGUCCAGACUCCUACGGGAGGCAGCAGUGGGGAAUAUUGGACAAUGGGCGAAAGCCUGAUCCAGCCAUGCCGCGUGUGUGAAGAAGGUCUUCGGAUUGUAAAGCACUUUAAGUUGGGAGGAAGGGCAGUAAGUUAAUACCUUGCUGUUUUGACGUUACCGACAGAAUAAGCACCGGCUAACUCUGUGCCAGCAGCCGCGGUAAUACAGAGGGUGCAAGCGUUAAUCGGAAUUACUGGGCGUAAAGCGCGCGUAGGUGGUUUGUUAAGUUGGAUGUGAAAGCCCCGGGCUCAACCUGGGAACUGCAUCCAAAACUGGCAAGCUAGAGUACGGUAGAGGGUGGUGGAAUUUCCUGUGUAGCGGUGAAAUGCGUAGAUAUAGGAAGGAACACCAGUGGCGAAGGCGACCACCUG
This 679-nucleotide ribosomal RNA is filed under the name uncultured Pseudomonadota bacterium. Its description in RNAcentral is "bacterial SSU rRNA". It matches the Rfam family "Bacterial small subunit ribosomal RNA", at positions 57 to 731 of the family's 1533-position model. The record is from RNAcentral. Lineage: Bacteria; Pseudomonadati; Pseudomonadota.